Salvia splendens (bonfire salvia) is the source of this 437-nucleotide long non-coding RNA. RefSeq lists it as uncharacterized. Lineage: Eukaryota; Viridiplantae; Streptophyta; Magnoliopsida; Lamiales; Lamiaceae. The transcript has 2 exons. The record is from RefSeq and is a predicted model, not a curated record.
GUUUUCUCUCCCAGAAUAUCUUUCUCUUUUCUAUGCAACUCCAUCAUGAUCAUGGAGUUUCUCUCAUAGAUUUGUUAUGCAGCUCCUUCUUUGAGCCUAAUUUGAUCUUGUUGUCUCUGAGGUUCGAGAAGCAGUUCUGCAAGCCAAUCGGUGUCCAUGAAGAAGAAGGUCGUGAAGUUGAUGACCAAACCAUUGCGUCGGUGUGGAAAAUGUGUCCCCAUGACUCUAGAAAUUGUGGCAGACAAUAGUUCGUUUCGAAAUACUUGAAGAUUGUGUUAAUUCGUUUCGAAGUACUUGAACAUUGUGGUCAUAUUUAUUUUUAACUUACCAGCUUGCAGUUUAAGUCCAUCAAUAUUACUUUAUUGAAUUUGUUCAUGAUUAGUUUAUUGAACGAUUGCAGAUUUGUUCUCGCAGUAUUGCUUACUAUUGCUUUGUGA